GCAGUGGUAGUUUACAGGUAGAAUUCCUUCUUUCCAUGCAGGAGACCCGGGUUCGAUUCCCAGCUGAUACA
RNAcentral lists this transfer RNA (71 nucleotides) under Loxodonta africana (African savanna elephant). It matches the Rfam family "tRNA". Rfam says of the family: Transfer RNA (tRNA) molecules are approximately 80 nucleotides in length. Their secondary structure includes four short double-helical elements and three loops (D, anti-codon, and T loops). Lineage: Eukaryota; Metazoa; Chordata; Mammalia; Proboscidea; Elephantidae. The record is from Rfam by way of RNAcentral.